This is a long non-coding RNA of Carassius gibelio (silver crucian carp), 764 nucleotides long. RefSeq lists it as uncharacterized. The transcript has 3 exons. NCBI's taxonomy places the organism in Eukaryota, Metazoa, Chordata, Actinopteri, Cypriniformes, Cyprinidae. The record is from RefSeq and is a predicted model, not a curated record.
UACAAAAUAUAAUGGACCGGUUCAUAAUUCCUUAUAACUUUUAGGUCUAGUUUCACAGACAGGGCUUGGAUUAAGCCAGGAUUAGGCUGUAGUUAAAUUUAGAACAUUGAAGUAGCUUUUGUAAACAUGCAUUUAGAAAAAAAAAAAAAAAACAUUACUGAUGUGCAUCUUGAGACAAAACCAUGGCACUGACACCUUUUUUUUUUUUUUGUAAUGCCCAAUAGUUGCCAGAUGCUGUCCUGUUGGAAAUUCUUCUUUACGUGAUCCUGGAGGAGGGGUGAUGCUACAUUACUAAGUCCGUCUUUGGUUUGUUCCAAAUUCAGAAGUCUGCUGUACUGUAUACAGACUCCUUUCGAAAGCGGGCACAAUCCAGCUGGCUUAGCUGAGUAUCUUUUACAUAUUUGAUUAGAGGUUUAAAAAGGUGGAACAAAAUGGAGAACAAGUCUAAGCCAUGUCAGGAAUUCAACAAAAUGUACACCCUGCAGACACUGCGACGAGGUUUACAUCAACUGCUUACCAGGUCACUGCAGUCACCUGGAUCGAGUACGUAUCCAGACCAGAUGGUGGAUCGCACCUAGAAAGAACCUCUACAGCCCUGAAAGACAGCGGAGACCAGGACAACUAGAGCCCCAGAUACAGAUCCCCUGUAAAGACCUUGUUUUUUCUCCAUUUUGUCACCGGUGGAGUUUUGGUUCCUUGUCGCCUCUGGCUUGCUUCGUUGUGGUCACUUCAUUUACAGUGAUAUCAUUGACAUGAUUGCAAAU